AUUAUCUUUGCCAGCUUCGUUUCCUUCACGGAGAAGCACCGCGAUUCAUCCCAGCCUAGACGGUACCUGGAAGGAAGGCCUUCUUCCAUUUGGUGGCUCUGGUGGUCAUGAAGGUGCUGCAGGAGGAAGAAAGCCUGGGAGACAUGGGAGGCAGGGUCAAGAACACCAUUUGAUUAUUAUUUGAGCUGACCUCGGGCCCAGCCUUCCUGAAUAUUCUCUUUUCUGAAGAGGCCUGCAAGAAGACAGGCCUGACUAUAAACCCAAAUGAGCCCCUGCAGCCUGAAGACCCUCCGGCAAAGAAAAGCAGAGGUGAUUUGAGGCCUGGUGGGGAAGAGAAAGAAACUGCUGAGAGACUAAAUGCCGAGGUCCAUCCGCAUUCUUGGAAGCCAGAGGAAGCAGGCUGGAGACACCCGGGAGGCCCAGAGAGGAGUCUGGACCCCACAGUGAACCAGCUGAGGGCUUCACGGAACCUUUCAUCAGACCCCCAGGGACUCCAGCUCGAAACAAACACAUAAUCAAAACGUUUCCCUCCCUUCCAAAUAUCCAAAGCCCUUAGGCUCCUCAGCUCCCCAGACCUGGAAGGAAGCCGGGCGCUUACUGCCAAGGUACCGUCUCCAGUCACCCCCACCCCCACCUGCACCCGGAACUUUGUACCCCAAGGGAGUGCAGCCUUUAAAAAAAAAAAAGAAAGUUCCUGUUUUAACCAAAAAUGAAGCAGUUGCUCUUUCUCCUUCCUCCCCUGGGACAAGAAGCCCUUGAGUCCCCUCCAGAGUCCAGAUGCAAGGAGAGCGCUACUCCACCCCCAGUUUCCAACUCCCAGCAAGGCGAAUGGCCCCGACCGGCUCAACAGGUCCCUGGAAAGGACUUGCCCUCCCCAGGCAUCCACAGCUGAGGCCGGAGGAAGGAAGGGGAGGGGUGGGCAGGGGGGCUGGCCUGCUUUCCCCCUCCCACAACACUGGGGCCACCCUGAGGGCGGGCAGAGGGCCGGUCUGGAGGAGGAGGGAGCUGGAUUCAUAAACAAACCCGCCAGGGCCACGAGGUGCCCAGAGGAGCGGGUGGGGUUUGCUGGCCUCUGAGGCCCAGCCUGGAGCUGGGAGACUAGUGUGGGCCGGGCUGGGGCCUCUCCACCCCCAGUUUCCGUCUAGGGGUGGACCAUCUGACUCGCCCCAACCACAAACCCCUCCUUCCUGCUUUGCCCUUCCUCCCGGGGAGCCUGAGAAGCCAGCUGAAGUUCAUAGAAGACACCUGACUUCUCUCUUCUUCCGGAAGUUUUCACUGUCGCCCAGCCCAGGCGAGUGGGUGGUUCCUGUUGGGGAAAGGCCCUGGAACACCCUGUUUGUGCCUUCUUGGGGUGCUCAGGGAGAUGAGAGAGGGCAGGAGCUUCACAGACUUUUGCCUCCAAGAGGGCUUUUCCCAGCACUGCUCUGAUGCUGAUAUCUGGCCUGGUGAUGACCUCUUAGCAGGCUCUUCUCUUCUCUCUGCUCUCCCUUCCCCCACCCCUGUAGGUGAUCAGAGCUGUCUGGACAAAGGUCCCUGGGCGUCUUCCAGGAAGAACUUACCUUUAGUCACUCACAGCAAGACUGGUAACUAAUACCUAUAGAUAAUAUGGUGUCUCUUUCUUACUGAUUGGGAAAUAAACUUAGAACUUGAGGAGUUCCCCUUGUGGCUCAGCUGUAAAGAACCCAACUAGUAUCCAUGGGGACUCGGUUCAAUCCCUGGCCUUGUUCAGUGGGUUAAGGAUCCUGCGUUGCCAUCACAGACGAGACUCAGAUAUGGUGUUGCUGUGGCUGUGGUAUAGGCCGGCAGUUGCAGCUCCAAUUUGAGCCCUGCUGUGGGUUCAGCCCUAAAAGGAAAAAAAAGUUUAAGAUCAAUCAAGAGUUUUUAAGGCAGACACUGGAAGCCAGAGAACAAGAAAACUGAACUAGAAGAAUCAGGAAUUUUCUCUGAGCCAUACCACCUGGCUCACCACCAAAGGGGCCCAGAGAAGAAGAGGAAGGCUUCCUGCUGUCCACAGUGGAGAGUAAAGGAUAAGAUGAACAGGUCUUGGAAUAGUUAGUCUCCCCCAAGUCUUGGGGAAUUGCCUGGUUGGUCUCCUCACUCCUGCAAGGUGCACACAGCAGGGCUGAAGCAACGCUCUGCGGCCGUGUGGUAUCUCUGUCUAGGACCCUCUGCUCAAUCCUGCCCAAGGACUGAGCCAGUCCAAGCUGCCAACAUCAAGCUGAUGCUUCUCUGAAUGCCUCCUCCCCGCCCUCACCCCACACGGUGCUGCUAAGGCCAGCAGCCACGGGGGCUUGGGUCCAGUUGGAGCUUAGCUUCCAGGUCCAGUGGUGGUUGACUGCCUAGACCCCUCAGGCUUAGCCUCCUCCGAGAACUUCAGAAAACACUGAAAUAGACCUCCAGCCAUGUGCAUUAUGUGGCCUUGAUGGAAGGCAAUGUGACGAUCACCUAACAAAUAUUCUUUCCAAGAAUGUUGAACCUGAACCUGAGGAAGUCUUUCAAUCUCAUCUCCAGUUGGCAGAAAAUAGAGGGGCUGGAGGAACAAGGAGUUCUCAAGGACUUGAGCCACUGCAAUGACAACACCAGAUCCUUAACCCACACCGCAAGGGAACUUCAAUAUUUUGGUAUUUUUUUAUGCAAUCCCCCUGCUUUGCUUCCCUGUGUACUAAGCAUCACUGGAUAUGGACACCACGGACCCGGCUUUGGAGAAGAGAAGCUUCCUAAUUUAAGCCUAUGGACCACUUGAGAGCAAAGGUUGUUGUGUUUUAUAAACAUUUGUCUUUCUGGGGACCCCACAGUGCCUGGGAGGUAAGAGGAGAUAAUCAAUGUCCGUUUUUCGGUCUUUACCUGAAAUGUAACCCUGGCUGGCCUGUUGUUAGGACCCUUGGAGACCACCUCUGCUUUAUCA
This 2905-nucleotide long non-coding RNA is filed under the name Sus scrofa (pig). The record is from RNAcentral. Lineage: Eukaryota; Metazoa; Chordata; Mammalia; Artiodactyla; Suidae.